CUGAGGCACAGAGCAGCUAAGGAAUUUACUCGCGAUCACAGGACUUGUCUUAGGACAAAACAGGAACGAAAGAUUAAGGCCCUGGCAUCUCUGAGCUGGAAUCAGGGAUCAACAAGGCAAGCCCUGACAACAAGAAGUUCACCCCGUGGACACAGAUCACAGCACACACAGCACACCACAGCCCACCUUGCUAAACCCUGUGCAGAUGCUGAGAGAGUAAAAGGAGAGGAGCUGAGUGAAAUCAGAGAGCAAGUUCCAGCAUGUGUGGUGACAGAAGGGUUGUGAAGAACUAGAAAUGCACCAGGAGGAACAGGACACACAAAAACGAGAUGGUGUUUGCUUCUGGAGAAGGAAUCGGGU
Prionailurus viverrinus (fishing cat) is the source of this 360-nucleotide long non-coding RNA. RefSeq lists it as uncharacterized. Lineage: Eukaryota; Metazoa; Chordata; Mammalia; Carnivora; Felidae. The transcript has 3 exons. The record is from RefSeq and is a predicted model, not a curated record.